RNAcentral lists this ribosomal RNA (253 nucleotides) under uncultured bacterium. Its description in RNAcentral is "partial 16S ribosomal RNA". It matches the Rfam family "Bacterial small subunit ribosomal RNA", at positions 524 to 776 of the family's 1533-position model. The record is from RNAcentral.
UACGAAGGGGGCUAGCGUUGCUCGGAAUCACUGGGCGUAAAGGGUGCGUAGGCGGGUCUUUAAGUCAGGGGUGAAAUCCUGGAGCUCAACUCCAGAACUGCCUUUGAUACUGAGGAUCUUGAGUUCGGGAGAGGUGAGUGGAACUGCGAGUGUAGAGGCGAAAUUCGUAGAUAUUCGCAAGAACACCAGUGGCGAAGGCGGCUCACUGGCCCGAUACUGACGCUGGGGCACGAAAGCGUGGGGAGCAAACAGG